AUUGAACGCUGGCGGCAGGCCUAACACAUGCAAGUCGAACGGUAACAGGAAGAAGCUUGCUUCUUUGCUGACGAGUGGCGGACGGGUGAGUAAUGUCUGGGAAACUGCCUGAUGGAGGGGGAUAACUACUGGAAACGGUAGCUAAUACCGCAUAACGUCGCAAGCCCAAAGAGGGGGACCUUCGGGCCUCUUGCCAUCGGAUGUGCCCAGAUGGGAUUAGCUAGUAGGUGGGGUAACGGCUCACCUAGGCGACGAUCCCUAGCUGGUCUGAGAGGAUGACCAGCCACACUGGAACUGAGCCACGGUCCAGACUCCUACGGGAGGCAGCAGUGGGGAAUAUUGCACAAUGGGCGCAAGCCUGAUGCAGCCAUGCCGCGUGUAUGAAGAAGGCCUUCGGGUUGUAAAGUACUUUCAGCGGGGAGGAAGGGAGUAAAGUUAAUACCUUUGCUCAUUGACGUUACCCGCAGAAGAAGCACCGGCUAACUCCGUG
RNAcentral lists this ribosomal RNA (490 nucleotides) under uncultured bacterium. RNAcentral's name for it is "partial 16S ribosomal RNA". It matches the Rfam family "Bacterial small subunit ribosomal RNA", at positions 30 to 507 of the family's 1533-position model. The record is from RNAcentral.